AGGUGAGUUCCCCUUCACUGUAAAGCACUUUGAGCAUUUGGAAAAGUGCUAUAUAAAUGUAAUUAAUAAUAAUAAUAAUAAUAAUAAUAAUAAUUGUGUUUGUAAGUAUACGUCUGUGUACGCAGGGGGACAGGCUAAUUGUCGAUUGCCGCGAGCACCUUUAUCUCUGUCUUCCAAACAUCCGACGCACAUCCGCAAGUGCUCAGGCAAUAAAGCCGAGUUCUUUUGUCUUGCAAAUAUAUUUGAAUGAGUUGUUCGGUCGGGCCUUGCCGCGUAUGUGAGUGACUGAGACGGAUCUGAACUGCGGUGUCGGUGCGACUGCGUCCGAGCUGGGUCUUGGUCUGCGACUGCCGAAGGUCGUUUCUUAACAGCGCCCGGAAACAAAAGUUCCCAAACGUCCGAGAGAGAAGACACAGCCGGGAGGCAAUUUAAGAGAGAACUGGGUCCUACCGCCUGCAUGGAGUCCAUGGACAAGCAGAAUUCACAGGAGGAGCCCGGUGAUGUCACAGAGGCAGAAGGUGACGCUCCUGAAGGUGCAGCAGAUAACUCAAGAGAAGACGAGAACAGGCAAGUGUGCUCCGAGCACGCACACA
This is a long non-coding RNA of Anguilla rostrata (American eel), 593 nucleotides long. RefSeq lists it as uncharacterized. Lineage: Eukaryota; Metazoa; Chordata; Actinopteri; Anguilliformes; Anguillidae. The record is from RefSeq and is a predicted model, not a curated record. The transcript is spliced from 3 exons.